Long non-coding RNA from Dioscorea cayenensis subsp. rotundata (Guinea yam), 774 nucleotides. RefSeq lists it as uncharacterized. The transcript is spliced from 5 exons. The record is from RefSeq and is a predicted model, not a curated record. Lineage: Eukaryota; Viridiplantae; Streptophyta; Magnoliopsida; Dioscoreales; Dioscoreaceae.
CCGUUUGUAUCCGGAUCUGUUUUCUCUCCAUCUCUGUGAACCCUAGCAAUCAGGAGAGCAAUCGGGAGUUUAACUGAAGCCCCUUCCUUUCUCCGCUUUCCGAUCUCUCCGAAUCUCGGUGUGUUAGUUCUCCGAUUCCCGAUCUCUCCUAAUCUCGUUGCCACACUUCACCGAAUCGAGUGUUCUCCUUGGGUUGGCGGAGCCGGAGCUCCGGUAACUCGCCAUUGAUUUCGGUCAGCAAUGCUAUAGAGGCAAGCAGGUACAUGAAUCACAUGAUCUUCUUUACAAGACCAAGGCUAAGGAAAUCCAAGAUUUUAACCACUGUUGGAAAUGGGAUGAAAUCGGAGUAUUGGCAGUGGCUCAGGGCUUCCGUGAUGAACUCCGUGAAGCAGAGUGGAGAGUUGGGAGGUCACCAGUUCACCGUGCUGUUACUGCAGCUGAUGGCACUAUUAAGAUCCUAAGAAGUGCUAGACAGCUUGGAGAUUUUUUGCUUGUAGGAAUAUACAGUGAUCAAACAGUGAGGUGGUGUUUUCUCGGCAAUUCUGCUAUUUUGAGCGGGGUUUGACUGUGGAGCAGGGGAUGGGAUUUUCUUUAUUUACUUUGUUUUCCUAGGAAUUCAAAAGUGGUGUUCUUAGGAUUUAAUUUGUAGUUAUUUUUUUGUUUUUUUGGAGUUUCUGAUGUGAAUCAGAUGUGCAAUAUAUUAAUAAUGCAACAGUCUGUACGUCACACUGUCUCUUUGGACAUAAGAAAUGAUUUAUUUGUUAUUUGCGACUA